AUUCUUGUGCAGAGACAAUUUCAUAGUCUAUGAAGUUCUACUGAGAUGUGAUUAUUGCUGGUUGAAAACUUUAACCAAUUCCCGCCUGGAUGAUUUGAAACACAGUCAGCUAUGGCAAUUUUUGCUAGUCUCUCAGGAGA
Molecule: small nuclear RNA, 140 nt
Organism: Oreochromis aureus
Lineage: Eukaryota; Metazoa; Chordata; Actinopteri; Cichliformes; Cichlidae
Gene: U4
Rfam family: U4 spliceosomal RNA
About the family: U4 small nuclear RNA (U4 snRNA) is a component of the major U2-dependent spliceosome. The structure of U4 snRNA from yeast and human has been reported. U4 snRNA presents a k-turn RNA motif in the 5p-SL related to recognition of Snu13 protein.
Source: Ensembl